UACGGAGGGUGCGAGCGUUGUCCGGAAUCAUUGGGCGUAAAGGGCGCGUAGGUGGCUUCUUAAGCGUGCGGUGAAAGCCUGGGGCUCAACCCCGGGUCGGCCGUGCGAACUGGGGGGCUGGAGCACUGUAGAGGCAGGCGGAAUUCCGGGUGUAGCGGUGGAAUGCGUAGAGAUCCGGAAGAACACCGGUGGCGAAGGCGGCCUGCUGGGCAGUUGCUGACACUGAGGCGCGACAACGUGGGGAGCAAACAGG
RNAcentral lists this ribosomal RNA (253 nucleotides) under uncultured bacterium. Its description in RNAcentral is "partial 16S ribosomal RNA". It matches the Rfam family "Bacterial small subunit ribosomal RNA", at positions 524 to 776 of the family's 1533-position model. The record is from RNAcentral.